AUGCCCCCACGCGUGACCGUGGCCGCUCCUGCCCCCUGCCCUGCGCCCCCCCCGUGCGCCCCUCGCUGCCCCUGGCACCGCUCGGCACCGCUCCUGCCCCUUGCGGGGGGGUUUCGUGCCCCGUCCCGGCUCCGGGGGCUUGCGGAGGGGGGGAUGUAUGCGUGUGAGGAGGGGGGGGGGGGGCGGCCUCGCAGCGCCCCGCCGGAGCGGGGGGGUGGGGGGCUCGCCCUCUCCCAGCCCCGAAAUGACGCAGCCCCUGCUCCAGCAUCGGCUCCCGUUCGGGCUGGCUCCAUUUCAGGAGCUCCGUCUCCCCCCACCCCCUUCUUCCCAGCCUUCCUCCUUCCUCCUCCUCCUCGCCUCACCGUCACUCUCCCCCCGCCCCGCCGCCCCAAACUCCUUCCUCAGGACCGUGGGAUGCUGGCGAGCCCUGGCGAGAGUUGCCGGUCUCCAUUUCCAAGCGGGGAGCCGCCGGGAGCGGCCCACUCUGUUCUCCAGCCUUAUUACAUGGGGUUUUUGUCUCUCCAAGUCAUUCCUCAGCAUCGCCUUGAAUGGCAUCUACUGCACGUGCUAUGUGACAGAUCCACACAAACAACAGAGGGGAAAGAGCCUCACUUAACUGAUUAG
This 624-nucleotide long non-coding RNA is filed under the name Anas platyrhynchos platyrhynchos (common mallard). RNAcentral's name for it is "lncRNA (ENSAPLG00000029521.1)". Lineage: Eukaryota; Metazoa; Chordata; Aves; Anseriformes; Anatidae. The record is from RNAcentral.